AGGGUUUGAUCCUGGCUCAGGAUGAACGCUAGCGGCAGGCCUAACACAUGCAAGUCGAGGGGCAGCGAGGCGGAAGCUUGCUUCCGCUGUCGGCGACCGGCGCACGGGUGCGUAACGCGUAUGUAACCUACCUUAUACAGGAGGAUAACCCGGAGAAAUUCGGACUAAUACUCCAUAGGUAUAUUUUCGGCAUCGGAGAUAUAUGAAAGAUUCAUCGGUAUAAGAUGGACAUGCGUGACAUUAGCUGGAUGGUGAGGUAACGGCUCACCAUGGCGACGAUGUCUAGGGGUUCUGAGAGGAAGGUCCCCCACACUGGUACUGAGACACGGACCAG
This 334-nucleotide ribosomal RNA is filed under the name uncultured bacterium. Its description in RNAcentral is "bacterial SSU rRNA". It matches the Rfam family "Bacterial small subunit ribosomal RNA", at positions 8 to 334 of the family's 1533-position model. The record is from RNAcentral.